Molecule: RNA transcript, 2553 nt
Organism: Vitis vinifera (wine grape)
Lineage: Eukaryota; Viridiplantae; Streptophyta; Magnoliopsida; Vitales; Vitaceae
Gene name: protein WHAT'S THIS FACTOR 9, mitochondrial
Exons: 3
Source: RefSeq, a predicted model, not a curated record
UUCGCUUAAACCCUCAAAAAUCACUAAACCCUGAGGAGUCAUGACUCUUAUGGGGCUCUCCUCUCAUCUCUGAAAAGUGAAAGCACAGUGCGAGCUCAGAAGCCCCCAUGAAGUUCCUCCUCCGAUCUCCGCUAAAACCCCACCACUACCACCGCCAAAGCCGCCGGAGCUUCGGUGACGCCACCAUCAAACGGGUUCAAGACCGGGGUCUCGAGCACGCGGUGGAGAAAGAGAGGAGCCUCAAGCCCAUGCUCAAUAUCAAGAACCUCAUCAAAUCUGAACCCUCCAAGUCUGUGCCCAUCUCCCUCAUUUCUCAAAACAAAGAAGCGCUCGGCCUCUGGACCCGGCCCAUCGAUUUCAUCCGCAGGUUUCCCUCCAUUUUUGAGGAAUUCCUUCCGGGAGGGAUUAAGAUACACCCACAUGUCCGCCUCACACCGGAAGUUCUCAGCCUCGAUGGCGAGGAGUUAUCCAUCUUCCAAACUGAAAAUUAUCGAAAACAAGCCGCGGACCGGCUUUUGAAGCUCUUGAUGCUUUCAAGAAUCAAUAAAAUUCCAUUGACUAUUGUUGAUCGAUUGAAAUGGGAUCUGGGUCUUCCUCAAGAUUAUGUGGAAACGUUGGUUCCGGAGUUUCCGGACUAUUUUCAAGUCACUAGUGCGGAGGAUCAUUUUUCGGGUUCACGGGGGAUGCGGGUUUUGGAAUUGGUGUGUUGGAGUAAUGAAUUGGCAAUUUCUGUGAUGGAAAAGAAAGCCAUGGCUGGCCAGGGGGGUUUUGAGAAGGGAAUGGCUAUUGCUUUCCCUUUGCAUUUUUCCAGAGGUUUUGAGAUGGAUAAGAAGAUGAAGAAGUGGGUUGAUGAAUGGCAGAAACUGGUCUAUAUUUCUCCAUAUGAAAAUGCCUCACAUCUUCCUCCCAAAAGUGAUGAAUCAGAUAAGUGGGCUGUUGGGUUAUUGCAUGAGCUUCUUCACCUUUUUGUUCCUAGGAAGACAGAUAAAGAGAAUAUAUUGUGUCUUGGGGAGUAUAUGGGUCUUCGGUCGAGGUUCAAGAGGGCCUUGGUUAAUCACCCGGGUAUAUUUUAUUUAUCGACUAAGACUGGGAUGCAUACUGUGUUGUUGAAGGAGGCAUAUAAGAGGGACUUGUUGAUUGAGAAGCAUCCACUGAUGGAGAUGAGGUAUCAGUAUAUUCAUCUUAUGAACACUGCAAAGGAAGAUAACAAGCCGAUUAAUGCUCCAGGAACUAGUCCUAAAAAAGAACAGAAAAAUGCUAGUGAUGCCAGUGGAGAAAAAAGUGAACAAGUGGAGGAUGCUGAAAGUGGGGAAGAAUAUGAAGGUGAGCUACACAGUGAUGUUGAGGAGGCUAGUGAUGACGACUAUGAGGAUGAGGAUGAGGAUGAUGAAAUUGAGACUCACAGAGAUGCGCACCAGAAUGUUGCAUCCAAUAGAAGAACAACUAGAAAAGUGAAUUUUGAUGCUAGAGGACCUUUAAGAAAUCCUGUCCAAGAAAGGUCAGGAGGAAGAUUACCUGGUGGAAGAGAGGGACAAGGAUACCCUGGUGCAAGAGAGGGACAAAGAUACCCUGGUGCAAGAGAGGCACAAAGGUACCCUGGUGCAAGAGAGGGACAAAGAUACCCUGGUGCAAGAGAGGGACAAAGACACCCUGGUGCAAGAGAGGGUCAAAGAUACCCUGGUACAAGAGAGGGACAAAGAUACCCUGGUGCAAGAGAGGGACAAAGAUACCCUGGUACAAGAGAGGGACAAAGAUACCCUGGUGCAAGAGAGGGACAAAGAUACCCUGGUGCAAGAGAGGGACAAAGAUACCCUGGUACAAGAGAGGGACUUCGUUCUGGUAAAAGAGCAGAAAUGUAUAAUGGCAAUAAAGUCCGUGGACGAUCAUCAGAGAAGUCAAAUUUCCCAAGAAGCAGGGGGAGGUCAUUGACAGACAAGAGGGCUUCUUUUCAGUAAAGAUUAGAUUCAGUUUAUUUGCUGCAGACCAUGUGGAAUAGAUAAAAACAAAACCUUUGCCCACUCUUAAAUCCCAACUAUGUGAUUGGGGAGAUUGGCCAUCACAAGGUUCAUCACAUCCUGUUCUACCCUGGUCAGCCUUCUGCCACUGUGGUCGCUCAAAGGGAGCCAACAGAUUGAGUGACCAUGUUGGCAGGCGGUUCUGCAAAGUCUCAUUUUUUCAGUUUAGUGAUGCCACACCAUGGUGACCUGAUACCCUCAUGUGCACUGCCACUGUUGCCGGCCGGGAAACAGACUUCAUUUGUCUUUCUGGUUCUCCAUCUUGUGGAUGAUGUGCUGCUGCAAUUCUCUGUGAAAGGCAUCCCGCAGCUUCAAUAUCAAGAGACACAGCUUCUGUUGUUGUGGUGGGGAGGACUUUGAGAACCUUGGGAUAGUUUGUCUAUCCACCACGGCAACACAGUACUCAGGUCCCUCUGAUCUCAUACUCUCCCUCCAUUACUUCAUGAUAUAAUUCACAAUACUAAACUUGUUGGACCUCUAUUUUGUAAUUUUGCCUGGGGAUAUCAUAAACAGGUAGCUCAGCUGGAAGUCUUCCUUC